RNAcentral lists this ribosomal RNA (253 nucleotides) under uncultured bacterium. RNAcentral's name for it is "partial 16S ribosomal RNA". It matches the Rfam family "Bacterial small subunit ribosomal RNA", at positions 524 to 776 of the family's 1533-position model. The record is from RNAcentral.
UACGUAGGGAGCAAGCGUUGUCCGGAAUCAUUGGGCGUAAAGCGCGCGUAGGUGGCCCGGUAAGUCCGCUCUGAAAGUCACAGGCUCAACCUGUGAAAGCGGGUGGAUACUGCCGGGCUAGAGUCCGGAAGAGGCGAGUGGAAUUCCUGGUGUAGCGGUGGAAUGCGCAGAUAUCAGGAGGAACACCAACGGCGAAGGCAGCUCGCUGGGACGGUACUGACACUGAGGCGCGAAAGCAUGGGGAGCGAACAGG